This 305-nucleotide ribosomal RNA is filed under the name uncultured soil bacterium. Its description in RNAcentral is "bacterial SSU rRNA". It matches the Rfam family "Bacterial small subunit ribosomal RNA", at positions 62 to 360 of the family's 1533-position model. The record is from RNAcentral.
UCGAACGGCAGCACAGCAGUAGCAAUACUGGUGGGUGGCGAGUGGCGGACGGGUGANNNNNGCAUCGGGACCUGCCCAGACGUGGGGGAUAACGUAGGGAAACUUACGCUAAUACCGCAUACGUCCUACGGGAGAAAGCGGGGGAUCAGCAAUGACCUCGCGCGGUUGGAUGGACCGAUGUUCGACUAGCUUGUUGGUGGGGUAAUGGCCUACCAAGGCGACGAUCGAUAGCUGGUCUGAGAGGAUGAUCAGCCACACUGGGACUGAGACACGGCCCAGACUCCUACGGGAGGCAGCAGUGGGGA